Molecule: transfer RNA, 72 nt
Filed under: Spirochaetaceae bacterium
Lineage: Bacteria; Pseudomonadati; Spirochaetota; Spirochaetia; Spirochaetales; Spirochaetaceae
Description: tRNA-Gly
Rfam family: tRNA
About the family: Transfer RNA (tRNA) molecules are approximately 80 nucleotides in length. Their secondary structure includes four short double-helical elements and three loops (D, anti-codon, and T loops).
Source: RNAcentral
GCGGCUGUAGUAUAACGGCUAUUACGUGGGCUUCCCAAGCCUGGGACGAGGGUUCGACUCCCUUCAGCCGCU